Molecule: ribosomal RNA, 404 nt
Filed under: uncultured bacterium
Lineage: Bacteria
Description: bacterial SSU rRNA
Rfam family: Bacterial small subunit ribosomal RNA
Source: RNAcentral
UCGGGAAUUUUGGGCAAUGGGCGAAAGCCUGACCCAGCAACGCCGCGUGAAGGAUGAAGUAUUUCGGUAUGUAAACUUCGAAAGAAUAGGAAGAAUAAAUGACGGUACUAUUUAUAAGGUCCGGCUAACUACGUGCCAGCAGCCGCGGUAAUACGUAGGGACCAAGCGUUGUUCGGAUUUACUGGGCGUAAAGGGCGCGUAGGCGGCAAUUCAAGUCAUCUGUGAAAUCUCCGGGCUUAACUCGGAACGGUCAGAUGAUACUGCUUUGCUAGAGUGCGGAAGGGGCAAUCGGAAUUCUUGGUGUAGCGGUGAAAUGCGUAGAUAUCAAGAGGAACACCUGAGGUGAAGACGGGUUGCUGGGCCGACACUGACGCUGAGUGCGCGAAAGCCAGGGGAGCAAACGG